Non-coding RNA from Copromyces sp. CBS 386.78, 95 nucleotides. The record is from the annotation of a GenBank genome assembly. Lineage: Eukaryota; Fungi; Ascomycota; Sordariomycetes; Sordariales; Sordariaceae.
GGUCCGCUAGUGCAGCCGGGAGUAAUGCGAGAGAGCUCUUCGUGAGCUGCUACCAAGUAAACUGGAAGCUGCCGGUUCGAUUCCGGUGCGGAUCA